RNAcentral lists this ribosomal RNA (484 nucleotides) under uncultured bacterium. Its description in RNAcentral is "partial 16S ribosomal RNA". It matches the Rfam family "Bacterial small subunit ribosomal RNA", at positions 30 to 507 of the family's 1533-position model. The record is from RNAcentral.
AUUGAACGCUGGCGGCAGGCCUAACACAUGCAAGUCGAGCGGAUGAAGGGAGCUUGCUCCUGGAUUCAGCGGCGGACGGGUGUGUAAUGCCUAGGAAUCUGCCUGGUAGUGGGGGAUAACGUCCGGAAACGGGCGCUAAUACCGCAUACGUCCUGAGGGAGAAAGUGGGGGAUCUUCGGACCUCACGCUAUCAGAUGAGCCUAGGUCGGAUUAGCUAGUUGGUGGGGUAAAGGCCUACCAAGGCAACGAUCCGUAACUGAUCGGAGAGGCUGAUCAGUCACAGUGGAACUUAGACACGAUCCAGACUCCUACGGGAGGCAGCGUUGGGGAAUAUUGGACAGUUGGCGAAAGCCUGAUCCAGACAUGCCGCGUGUGUGAUGAAGGUCUUCGCACUGUAAAGCACUUUUAGUUGGGAGCAAGCGCUGUAAGUUAAUACCUUGCUGUUUGGACGCUACCAACAGAUUAAGCACCGGCUAACUUCGUG